This 301-nucleotide ribosomal RNA is filed under the name uncultured bacterium. Its description in RNAcentral is "partial 16S ribosomal RNA". It matches the Rfam family "Bacterial small subunit ribosomal RNA", at positions 509 to 809 of the family's 1533-position model. The record is from RNAcentral.
CAGUACCCGGUAAUACGGAGGGGGCUAGCGUUGUUCGGAAUUACUGGGCGUAAAGCGUGCGCAGGCGGUUUUGUAAGACAGGCGUGAAAUCCCCGGGCUCAACCUGGGAAUGGCGCUUGUGACUGCAAAGCUAGAGUGCGGCAGAGGGGGAUGGAAUUCCGCGUGUAGCGGUGAAAUGCGUAGAUAUGCGGAGGAACACCGAUGGCGAAGGCAGCCCCCUGGGCCAACACUGACGCUCAUGCACGAGAGCGUGGGGAGCAAACAGGAUUAGAUACCCCUGUAGUCCCUGUCUCUUAUACAC